GGCCGGUGAUGAUCUCUUAUCUACCUUUCUGACACCUCGUCUGAGGGCGGCGGGCGGUCGCGGCCCCUGCUGACGAUCCACGGCUGAGGCCC
Gymnogyps californianus (California condor) is the source of this 92-nucleotide small nucleolar RNA. RefSeq annotates it as small nucleolar RNA SNORD60. NCBI's taxonomy places the organism in Eukaryota, Metazoa, Chordata, Aves, Accipitriformes, Cathartidae. The record is from RefSeq and is a predicted model, not a curated record. The transcript has a single exon.